CCUACGGGGGGCUGUAGUGGGGAAUAUUGGACAAUGGGGGGAACCCUGAUCCAGCCAUGCCGCGUGUGUGAAGAAGGCCCUCGGGUUGUAAAGCACUUUCAGUGAGGAAGAACGCCUGGUGGUUAAUACCCAUCAGGAAAGACAUCACUCACAGAAGAAGCACCGGCUAACUCCGUGCCAGCAGCCGCGGUAAUACGGAGGGGGCGAGCGUUAAUCGGAAUUACUGGGCGUAAAGCGCGCGUAGGUGGCUUGAUAAGCCGGUUGUGAAAGCCCCGGGCUCAACCUGGGAACGGCAUCCGGAACUGUCAAGCUAGAGUGCAGGAGAGGAAGGUAGAAUUCCCGGUGUAGCGGUGAAAUGCGUAGAGAUCGGGAGGAAUACCAGUGGCGAAGGCGGCCUUCUGGACUGACACUGACACUGAGGUGCGAAAGCGUGGGUAGCAAACAGGAUUAGAUACCCUAGUAGUC
Molecule: ribosomal RNA, 465 nt
Filed under: Vreelandella stevensii
Lineage: Bacteria; Pseudomonadati; Pseudomonadota; Gammaproteobacteria; Oceanospirillales; Halomonadaceae
Description: partial 16S ribosomal RNA
Rfam family: Bacterial small subunit ribosomal RNA
Source: RNAcentral